CCUACGGGGGGCUGCAGUGAGGAAUCUUGCACAAUGGGGGCAACCCUGAUGGAGCAACGCCGCGUGCAGGAUGAAGGCCUUCGGGUUGUAAACUGCUUUUAUAAGUGAGGAAUAUGACGGUAACUUAUGAAUAAGGAUCGGCUAACUACGUGCCAGCAGCCGCGGUCAUACGUAGGAUCCGAGCAUUAUCCGGAGUGACUGGGCGUAAAGAGUUGCGUAGGCGGUUAGUUAAGUGAAUAGUGAAACCUGGUGGCUCAACCAUACAGACUAUUAUUCAAACUGGCUAACUCGAGAAUGGUAGAGGUAACUGGAAUUUCUCAAGUAGGGGUAAUAUCCGUAGAUAUGAGAAGGAACACCAAUGGCGUAGGCAGGUUACUGGACCAUUUCUGACGCUAAGGCACGAAAGCGUGGGGAGCGAACCGGCUUAGAUACCCCUGUAGUC
RNAcentral lists this ribosomal RNA (442 nucleotides) under uncultured bacterium. RNAcentral describes it as "bacterial SSU rRNA". It matches the Rfam family "Bacterial small subunit ribosomal RNA", at positions 338 to 795 of the family's 1533-position model. The record is from RNAcentral.